GACGAACGCUGGCGGCGUGCUUAACACAUGCAAGUCGAGCGGUAAGGCCCUUUCGGGGGUACACGAGCGGCGAACGGGUGAGUAACACGUGGGUGACCUGCCCUCAGCUCUGGGAUAAGCCUGGGAAACCGGGUCUAAUACCGGAUAUGACUCCAUGACGCAUGUUGUGGGGUGGAAAGCCUUGUGCGGCUGAGGAUGGGCCCGCGGCCUAUCAGCUUGUUGGUGGGGUGAUGGCCUACCAAGGCGACGACGGGUAGCCGGCCUGAGAGGGCGACCGGCCACACUGGGACUGAGACACGGCCCAGACUCCUACGGGAGGCAGCAGUGGGGAAUCUUGCGCAAAUGGGCGAAAGCCUGACGCAGCGACGCCGCGUGGGGAUGAAGGUC
This 387-nucleotide ribosomal RNA is filed under the name uncultured bacterium. Its description in RNAcentral is "bacterial SSU rRNA". It matches the Rfam family "Bacterial small subunit ribosomal RNA", at positions 28 to 416 of the family's 1533-position model. The record is from RNAcentral.